This 29-nucleotide non-coding RNA is filed under the name Mus musculus (house mouse). Lineage: Eukaryota; Metazoa; Chordata; Mammalia; Rodentia; Muridae. The record is from RNAcentral.
UCACAAACAGAAGGUCGCUCCUGUGGUCC